ACCCAUAUUUCAAUCAUUGACCUCGG
This 26-nucleotide ribosomal RNA is filed under the name Bryoria sp. Wang 04-23193. Its description in RNAcentral is "partial 28S ribosomal RNA". The record is from RNAcentral. Lineage: Eukaryota; Fungi; Ascomycota; Lecanoromycetes; Lecanorales; Parmeliaceae.